Molecule: long non-coding RNA, 2780 nt
Organism: Myripristis murdjan (pinecone soldierfish)
Lineage: Eukaryota; Metazoa; Chordata; Actinopteri; Holocentriformes; Holocentridae
Exons: 2
Source: RefSeq, a predicted model, not a curated record
AUCAUGACCAAUAUUUGGGUUGAUCAAUUAGGCUGGCCUGUGCGGGCUUCCAAAUCUUACAAAAAUACAGAGAAGACAGGCUAAUGCAUUCGCACUUUAUGAGUUUCAUUUGUCAGUGACAGAAAGGGUAGGAAUGCUCGUUUUGCUGUUAUGCAAUAAAGUCAAAUUUGUUUGCACUAAUGUAAAAAUUUGGGGUCUGGCAGACUUGGACGUUUCAUUAAGGAGAGACAGAAACUGUAGGCCAUGAAAAUGGCAAUAAUUUAGUCAUCCUCUGACCACUUAGCUGAAGAAUGUUUGUUUGCAUAACUUCCUCAGAGACAGCAAACUAAGCCUAUUAAUAACUCCUUUCAUAAGCUGUCAAUAAAAAUUGGAUUCCGGGAAAGGAGUAGUGUAAGGCAGAUAAAAGACUUCUUUUCUCACUGCUCCAACACUUAGCAUUAGCAACAACACAUUAUUAGGCUGCAGUAUUCAGCGAGUCAUCAAGUAAAGCAGGGCUAGAACUAUUUCUACCACAUACUACAUUGCUUUUCCACAACUGGCCAUACGAAGCCUUGUGUUGACCAACCAUGAAAGCUAAGCACAGGAAUCACCAGAGUUACACAGGCUGGAGAAGUGACUUGCCAUGCCAGGUUUUGUAUGGACAGGCUUAGACCCUGGGCGACAACAAUUUCCCCAGUAUCGUAUUAAACCACCUCAAAAUGACAGUAUCCCUUUACACGGACGCCGGUGGAAAGCUAUAGCAAAAUGACUGUUGUGGAAACUCCUUCUGGGGGGGUUGCGAGCAACUUUCUCUCUUGUCCACUGGACUUCGUGCACAAAAUACUUUUUCUCAAGAGGACUAUGAUUAUCUCCGAGCUCACAGAGGAUCUUCAGGCUGUGAAUGUCUUCCAAGUGCUGCCAGUUACAGGGAAAAAUGAGCGUCCCCCGACUCCGCCGACAAACGCCGAGAACAAGCAGAAAGCGUCGUGACCGGUCAUCUCUAGUACGAAUGGACACUGCAAAAGCAACAAAGCAAAGACAAGACGGGACUCACCGCAUUUGGACUUUUUGGCUGCUGGAAAAAAAGGAACGCCGGACUUCAAACGCGGUUAAGACCGGCGAUGGCAAAUGAGUAAGUCGUGGCCCAAAAAUGAUUGCCUUAAUUAUUACACAUAUACAGAUGUAUGACGUGAUGAUACUAAGAGACUUAAUACGAGUUCAAAGAUGUUUUCUUUACGUGUGAAAAAAAAAGUGUCUUGUAAGGAACAGAUGUGAAUAUUUUAAUAUGAUAGAGAACAAUGUUUGGUUGUACUGUUGACAUAAUGUUUUAGUUGGGUCUGCUUUGUAGGUGUCAUUGGUUACUAAAUGGUGAGUUUGCUCUCUGCUUAUGCGCAGUCAGCAGUAUGACUUGAUCUAUUUUUAUCUUGUUUCAUAUUGUGAACCAAACAAGGCUGGCCUGAGUUGCUCACUCAAACGCUGGCUUCAAAGUCUCUUAAUUCACACCAUGCCAUAACACAUGAAACACAUUACGAUAAAAAAAAAAAAAAAAAUCUUCAUCAAGACAUUCAGAGCGUGCAAAGAGGGUAGCGAGGGAAAUCUGACAUGUAUAUUGACUGGUUCAAUGCAGCACACUGGAAUACAUAAGUCGAAUAUCCUCUUAUUCUUACAUUAAGAUCCACUUACACUAAAACAAAGAUGUCAGGCACAUACACACCAACAUGAAUAUCCGCCACACUCACUUUCUAUCACAGAAAACAGUGGUUGAAAUUCCCUGUGGGCAUUCGCUGUCCGAGAAUCAUCUAAAGAUGAAAUACCUUAGGUUUUUUUCUCAGAUGCAAAUUUAGAGCUGACCAGCUGCUUUGUUGAUAUGUUUCCACUUUGAAUUUAACUGUAUGCAAAGUAACAUGGACGUGUGUUCUAUAUUUUUUUAAACCUAGCCUUGAUAAUUACAUAACCAAAGGUGAAACCCUGAAUUUAUUGUAUGUUGUGGACUUCUUCUGGAAAACAUGUUGUGACAUAGAUGCACACUGAGUAGAACAAAAUGUAAAUACGCAGACGUUUAUACUUGUGUGUCCUAAGAUGUGUCGCACAUAGGAGUAAUUUGAGACUUUUUACUUUCUUUGACUGUUAUCACCAUCGUCCAUUAUCAUCUGUGUUUGGUUUGUCUUUGCUGAAACACUCGUGUUCCUCAUAUUGUCGUGAAUGCUGCUCCAACAUUCUCCAUUGUCAUGAUUUUGGCAGAAGGGGUUGUUUUUUUUGUUUUUUUGUUGUUUUUUUUUUAACAGACUGCCCAUUGAAAAUCCACCCACUCUGUUUUCUGGCCUUCUUACUAAAACACGGGGUUGCUCACAGUUUUCUGUUGCAGCCUCAGAGAAGCAUUUGAUUUCCUCACCACAGAUUAAUAUUAUGAUGUCCCUGAAUGACAUUAUUAUUGUCCACUGACACUUUUACUUCAAGCUUUUUUAGGGAAGAGUAUAUCAUAUUCUUUUUCUAGACGGUGUGUUACCCUCCUAUCUUUUCCUUCAAACCCUCCCUACACAUACACACACACACACACACACAAAUGCACGCACAGACACACACACACCUUUCUAUAAUGUCACUUAAAAAAAACUUGAAUUUAGAGCUCUUCGUCUUACUGUCGUUUUCGUCUAAUCGCAUAGAGAGAAUCCAAAGUAAACCUUUUCAGAAAAUUGGUAUCUGUAAUUACCUCAAUAACAGUCAGUGUCCCUUAGAAAAACUGUUUACCGAAUGUUUUCAGAUAUUUCCUUAAUGUCAGUGUCAUAAAACCUCGUAAAAAA